RNAcentral lists this ribosomal RNA (121 nucleotides) under Bipolaris zeicola 26-R-13. Lineage: Eukaryota; Fungi; Ascomycota; Dothideomycetes; Pleosporales; Pleosporaceae. The record is from RNAcentral.
CUUUGUGACAGUCGCAUGAGUGAAAGGUAGCCAUUCCGUCCAACCUGGCAUAUAUAAGCAGUUUACCAGCGGAUUAGUAGUUAGGUGGGUGACCACUAGCGAAUCCCCGCUGUCGUAUGUU